CCCUACUGCUAUCUGGAUGGGACUAAGACAUGCUAGUCGUGCCCUUCAAGCCAUGAUGGAGGCGCGGCGCACAGCUCAGUAACACGUGGUUAACCUGCCCUUGGGACGGAAACACCCCCGGGAAACUGGGGCUAAUUUCCGAUAGGUGAAGGCUCCUGGAAUGGAUCUUCGCCUAAAGGGCGCUUAGGCCAUGCUUCUAGGCGCUGCCCAAGGAUGGGGCCGCGGCCGAUCAGGUUGUUGGUGAGGUAAUGGCUCACCAAGCCUUUAACCGGUUCGGGCCGUGGGAGCGGGAGCCCGGAGAUGGGUACUGAGACACGGACCCAGGCCCUAUGGGGCGCAGCAGGCGAGAAACCUUUGCAAUGUGCGAAAGCACGACAAGGUUAAUUCCCCCCGGAAAGUGUCUCCUGGCUAAAGGGAGUUCUUUUUUGUCAGUUGUAGAAUCACUGGUGAAUAAGGGGUGGGCAAGUUCUGGUGUCAGCCGGGG
This 484-nucleotide ribosomal RNA is filed under the name uncultured archaeon. Its description in RNAcentral is "bacterial SSU rRNA". It matches the Rfam family "Archaeal small subunit ribosomal RNA", at positions 24 to 467 of the family's 1478-position model. The record is from RNAcentral.